UGGGUUUUGUUGGUAGUAUAGAAGUUAAUAGUGGGUCUGGUUUUUACAGAUCCCAAUUUUUCAGGACCGCUUUCCUGAUAUAAUUUGUCUGAGCAUUAAAAUCAAAAAUAAGGGGGCAAAAAAGCUUCUCGUUAUUUUCGUCCUCACACUUCUCCUUUGGUGCCAAAAUCUCCAUCCUGGUCUUGCUCAAUACUUUCUCUGAUGCUCUGUUUAGUAAAUCUAGACCGUAAUUCUUC
This is a non-coding RNA of Pelobates cultripes (western spadefoot toad), 236 nucleotides long. The record is from the annotation of a GenBank genome assembly. NCBI's taxonomy places the organism in Eukaryota, Metazoa, Chordata, Amphibia, Anura, Pelobatidae.